GAUGAAGAACGCAGCGAAAUGCGAUAAGUAAUGUGAAUUGCAGAAUUCAGUGAAUCAUCGAAUCUUUGAACGCACAUUGCGCCCCUUGGUAUUCCGAGGGGCAUGCCUGUUCGAGCGUCAUAUUAACCACUCCCGCUUGCGGGGUCUUGGGCUUCGCCUCCGGGCGGGCCUUAAAAUCAGUGGCGGUGCCGUCGGGCUCUACGCGUAGUAAAUUUUCUCGCGAUAGGGUCCCGGUGGAUGCUUGCCAACAACCCCCAACUUCUUAAGGUUGACCUCGGAUCAGGUAGGGAUACCCGCUGAACUUAAGCAUAUCAAAAGCGGAGGA
This 325-nucleotide unclassified non-coding RNA is filed under the name soil metagenome. RNAcentral's name for it is "partial contains 5.8S ribosomal RNA, internal transcribed spacer 2, and large subunit ribosomal RNA". The stretch from base 1 to 120 matches the Rfam family "5.8S ribosomal RNA", at positions 35 to 154 of the family's 154-position model. The record is from RNAcentral.